GCUUCCAGAGGGAAAGUUGUGACUGACAGCUUUGGUCAGACAAGCAGACAUGACGUGCAAGAGGUCAAUUCAUUCUGUGUUUGUCAGAGAGGAAGAGAUUUAUUUGCUGUUACUUUUACUACUUGUUUGUAGCCGUGGCGUCUUGCUUGUUUUCCUAACCCAUUGCUGUUAAAAAUUGAAAGUGGUUCAAGUCUCAGGUGAAGUAACUCCCUCCGCUGACCCAGACCUAUGUACUCGCCCUGCCCUGCCUUCACCAAGUUGGUUGGUUUCCUCGUGCUGCCAUCUACAGAGCAAGCAACAGGUACACAAGGAUGUAGCCGUCCCUGUUUGCAGACCAAGAAGUGGACAAGAACUGCCUCAAGCCAAUCGGGCUGAUGGGAACCCAUUUACUUCUUGCGUUUUAGACAUUUCAAAAAACAUAUUUUAACAAAUCCUGAUGGUAUUUAAACUCUGUCUGGAACCUCAUGGCGCUGGCUGGACCUUCUCUU
Molecule: long non-coding RNA, 488 nt
Organism: Cygnus atratus (black swan)
Lineage: Eukaryota; Metazoa; Chordata; Aves; Anseriformes; Anatidae
Exons: 3
Source: RefSeq, a predicted model, not a curated record